UUUAUUUUUUUUUCUCCACAUAAGGUUGCAAACUUUUUUCUCUUCUUCCCUCCUCUUCCAACUUCCUCCCUGGUUGACCUGCCAGACAAAUUCCACUUGGAAUGUUGAGUUUUCCUACUUUUCUACUUACAAUACAUGGCAAAUCAGUGAAGGAAAAAACCCACCACCAACUCCACCACUCAUGGCUGAAGCAAAUGUGAGUUUCAUAAAGGCAAAAUGGAUGGUUCUUGAGUACACUUACACAAACAAGUGUGAAUAAAGGCUUUGUACCCAAAUCAUUCAAGUUUAUUCCAGACCUUGUAUUUAAGGUAAAGCAAUAGUUCCAUUUUCUACAUGAAAGGCUCUUGCAUAUGCUGCUGCUGUUAAUCUUACCAGCUGCUUCAGGGCUUUCCUCAAAAUUACCUUAAAUAUCUCUGUCCUUUGCCAAAAUUGUUCACUGAACUAAACCAGGCCAAUAUAAAUAUGUAACUGCAAUAAUUUUACUUCUGAAACCAGUAAAAUUCUAGUGAUACAUACAGCCAAGAUGUAGAGCAAGCUGUCACCACCAUCACUGUCACGUAGUUUUACUUUCAGGAUUUGUGAAGCUUUUUUUUUUUUUUUUGCCUUUUUUUUUUUUUUUUGAAAAUGUGAGUGCAUGAAAGUAAGAGGGGAGUAACAGAAAAUAGCUGCUGUUUAUCUAAGUGUAACUGUAUUAUAGCACAUUAGGAACUGCUACCUGUAGCUGAACUUUUCUGAUAUACAUGAAGUAACAGACUGUCCGAUGGCACUUACAUGGGAACGCAUUACAAGCUUGAAGAACUUUUCUGUGCCAGAUAGCAUCAGAAACUGUUCAAAAUUAAAUCUACACAAAAUUUCAAGACUCAGAAAUCAGUAUUGCUUCGGGGUAGACAAACACCACCAGUAACGGUGACCUGAAAAGUCACCAUUAACUUUUUUUUGGAGGAUGGGUGAAAAUAUUAAUUUCAUUACAUAUACAAAGUCACUUCUGGUAAUUGUAGUCCAGUGAGAGAUACUCCUCUCACACACCUAAUCACUUUUUUUUUUAUAGUGUUGAUGGAUAAAUUCAUGCCUUGGGUGCCCAUGUAAAUUAAAGUUACCCCAUAAAUUUUAACUGAAUUACUGCACAUUCACAGUAGCCAAAGAGCACAACAUGUGCCUAAGGUUUUGUAACAUUCCUACUUCUGUUUCUCCCGUAAGGAGGUAUAACAAAUGCUAUUCCAGGGAUAAAACACAGGUGAGAUUUUAGAAAAAUAUUAAGCAAGAAUACACACAAAUCACACAUGGCCAAAACAAAAUAAUAAAAGUCUUUAGUGGAAAACAAUUUUAUCCUCCUCCUGCUUAUGGAUCUUAAAGAUACACAAAGUGUUCAUUUCAAAAUGGAAAAUUCAGUUGUGUUAAGGCUUGAUCACACAGCCAUUGCCCAAGUCUUAUUGCAACAAAUUGUGAAAUAUUUCUAUGCAACUUCAUAUCUCCAACUGUAUAGGUAAAACAACGCUUGAAAUCAACUAGCACUUCAAUCCCUGCAUUUUUAAUAUAUAAACUCAACAUAGUACUGAAUUAUACAUUUAAAAUAUUUACACACUUGACCAACAGCAGUACUAGCAUUUAUUGCCUUAAAACUGCAUGUUCACCGCACGAAGGUUCCUUAUUUUGACCAACGGGAACAAAUAAAAGAGGAUAAUAUUUUUUUCCCGAUUAUAAACUCUAGUAUGGUUCAACGGGAGAUUGAAAUGUGCCGGGGAAUGCUAUUAGGAAGGACUUUAUCAAUUUCAAGUAUCAAGCUGUAAUAGACUGGAAAAUCACAAGUAGUAUCUUUCCCUUGAGGUUGGAAGUCUUCCAAAUCUUUUAUAAGAAUGGCUUAAACGGACAGAAAAAGCAGCAUAGGGAAAGGGAAGAAAUGGAAAAGCAGAAUCUACUUCAAUUCACUGAGGAGAAGGGAAAGCCAGGGAUAUCUUAUUUCUCCAUUGCUAGGGCCCCAAGAAAUCUCGUACUUAAAAAAGGGUUUUGUAAGACAGCCAAGAGCUUAAGGCUCUAAAGCAAAUCACACUUCAUGAUUUGCUUCCUGAUUAGUGCUAGAAAGCAUUAAUCUCAUUUACUGCAAAGAGGGCACUAUCUACUCGUAUUAAAAGCAAACUGAUGGGGGGACAGAGCUGGCUCUUUACUUUUUAAUUGUUAUCAUUAGGCUUUGGUUAUACUGAGCGACUGGAACAGAUAUGGGAGAAAUGAGUGGCUCUUUGCAGAAAAAUGUAAAAAAAUAAACCAAAUUAAACAAAAAACCUACCACCACAAGUGGCACUUGUCACAAGUAGAGGCACCAAAGCCUGAACAACAACUGUCCUCUCACUAUGUAGACCAGAACUGAGGGACACUGGUGGGGAAUCUUAUUUAAGAAGCCACCAUUUCAAUCAGCUGUAAUUGAAAUAACUACAAUUUACAGUAAGCAUUACUGUACUGCAGUAGACCAGUCCUGGGCAAUACUGCACCACUGCUGCCUCUACGGGGCUUUGUAAGUAUGAAAAUCUUCUGUUUUCGUUACAGUAAAUCUUACACCUCACAAAACUAAAAUUAAAAUAUUUAAUAUUUACAUAGCAUCUCAGAUCCUCAAUGCAUUUUAUAGGCAUAAGCUAAUCCUCACAACAUCCCUGUGAGGUAGGUAGGUAUUACCACUAUUGUAACAAUGACAGUUCUAGCAACUUGCCAAAAUGGCCACAGAGGAUCCAGUGGAAAAACAUACAAAAUUAGAGGAGCCUGGCUCCUACUCCUGCGCUUAUAUUCAUCAAGCUACUUCCAUAAAAAACACCCCUUUGUAUGUAUUUAACCAAAACUGAAAUUACUUGAAGUGUUUUACAAGAAAAAUGCUGCUAGUUGUAUUUUUUACAGAUCACAAAUUAGAAUUUGCUUUACCUUUUAAAGAAUUAGAUUUUAAAUGGACAACGGACUGCUCUGAGCAAGCUUAUUUUCUAGAACUACAUGGCUUAAAGGGAUUUACCCAAGUAAACACUGGGGCUUUAGCGAGUGCUACACACUAUCAAAGAGAUGACUGAUUCAAACCCCUCUCUUUCAACUACUUGGAUUUGGACACACUGAGAGAACAAGUUUCUCGUUCCUGAGGAAAAUGGUGAGCCCUUUAUCACUAAACAGUGAAACACAAACCUCUGGGCAAUAGUUAGCAGAUUCCAGCAGUAAUUCAGUGAAGAUACUUAAGGCAUAAAUGCACAUGGAAGUUUUGUGUAGUAGCCAACUUCUCCCGGUCCACGUGUAUCUGUGCUUUCAAGAAGGUCUUGAAUUUCAUGACCCAACCCAACGGUUCAUGCUUGCCAACAGCAAACAUUACUAAGUUGAACAACAGAAAAUUGUUACACCAGCAUUGGAUCUAGCUAUUACAAUGGGGAAGGAGCUGGCAAAAAAAGAAGCUACUUGAUUUCUAGUCUCAGAAUGGAAACACUGGAGCAAUGUGUUUUAGCAAAAAACCAAAAAACCAAAAAAAUUCUAGACAAAUGUAUGUUACAAUUUGUAACAAUUUGUUACAACUGUAUCAUGCAGCAUUUACAAUUCAGUUUGAGUUGCCCUUUUUUUUUUUUCCCUUCAAAACCAGGUGCAUUUUUAGAACCAUUCUUCACUUUGUACAGUGAAUGGAAAAACCAAUGCAGUGAUGCUAUAAAAAUUUCAGAACACUUCCAUGAAGCCAAAUCUCAAUGUUCACUAAAAAUGGUCUAUGAGUAUUUCCUAUGGACUUGAAUGAGCUUUUGCAUCUCAACUUACAGCUGGGCAUGUAGAAGUAAUUUUUUUCUUUUUUUUUUUUUUUUUCUGUAAGGGAUAUAAAAGUCCCUUA
RNAcentral lists this long non-coding RNA (3832 nucleotides) under Strigops habroptila (Kakapo). RNAcentral describes it as "lncRNA (ENSSHBG00005013788.1)". The record is from RNAcentral. Lineage: Eukaryota; Metazoa; Chordata; Aves; Psittaciformes; Psittacidae.